UACAGAGGUCCCGAGCGUUGUUCGGAUUCAUUGGGCGUAAAGGGUGCGUAGGCGGCGGGGUAAGUCUGAUGUGAAAUCCCGGGGCUCAACCCCGGAACUGCAUUGGAUACUGCCUUGCUAGAGUACUGGAGAGGAAACUGGAAUUUACGGUGUAGCAGUGAAAUGCGUAGAGAUCGUAAGGAAGGCCAGUGGCGAAGGCGAGUUUCUGGACAGUUACUGACGCUGAGGCACGAAGGCCAGGGGAGCAAACGGG
This 253-nucleotide ribosomal RNA is filed under the name uncultured bacterium. RNAcentral's name for it is "partial 16S ribosomal RNA". It matches the Rfam family "Bacterial small subunit ribosomal RNA", at positions 524 to 776 of the family's 1533-position model. The record is from RNAcentral.